AAGCUACUCCCUCCGUCCGGAAAUACUUAUCAUCAAAAUGAAUAAAAGGGGAUGCAUUAGUUCUAGAUACAUCUCUUUUUAUCCAUUUUGAUGAUAAGUAUUUGCGGACGGAGGGAGUACAAC
Non-coding RNA from Triticum aestivum (bread wheat), 123 nucleotides. The record is from Rfam. NCBI's taxonomy places the organism in Eukaryota, Viridiplantae, Streptophyta, Magnoliopsida, Poales, Poaceae.